Molecule: ribosomal RNA, 290 nt
Filed under: uncultured Wickerhamiella
Lineage: Eukaryota; Fungi; Ascomycota; Dipodascomycetes; Dipodascales; Trichomonascaceae
Description: partial 26S ribosomal RNA
Rfam family: Eukaryotic large subunit ribosomal RNA
Source: RNAcentral
AGGAUUCUCGAAAACGACACCUAAGUUUUCUGGAAAGGAAUGCCACAGAGGGUGAUAGCCCCGUACGGUGUUGACUCGAUACAGAGUCCUAACAUGGAGUCGAGUUGUUUGGGAAUGCAGCUCAAAUGGGUGGUAUGCUCCAUCUAAGGCUAAAUAUUUGCGAGAGACCGAUAGCGAACAAGUACUGUGAAGGAAAGAUGAAAAGAACUUUGAAAAGAGAGUGAAAUAGUACGUGAAAUUGUUGAAAUGGAAGGGUAGGCCGCUAACCAUGUAGGACCGUGUUUGGGGGG